CACGUAGGGUGCGAGCGUUGUCCGGAAUUAUUGGGCGUAAAGAGCUCGUAGGCGGUGUGUCGCGUCGGCCGUGAAAACCUGCAGCUUAACUGUGGGCGUGCGGUCGAUACGGGCAUCACUGGAGUUCGGCAGGGGAGACUGGAAUUCCUGGUGUAGCGGUGAAAUGCGCAGAUAUCAGGAGGAACACCAAUGGCGAAGGCAGAUCUCUGGGCCGUAACUGACGCUGAGGAGCGAAAGCGUGGGGAGCGAACAGG
RNAcentral lists this ribosomal RNA (254 nucleotides) under uncultured bacterium. RNAcentral's name for it is "partial 16S ribosomal RNA". It matches the Rfam family "Bacterial small subunit ribosomal RNA", at positions 524 to 776 of the family's 1533-position model. The record is from RNAcentral.